GAAUCCCAUUUUAUGAAGAAUCCAUUGCCUCACAAUGAUGGCACCACUGUCAAUUAUCACAAAGCAAAUUCUCCAUUCUAAAGGGGAUGGCCAUUUUGGAAAGUACACGUGACUGGAGAGAAGGGGCUUUAACAUGAAUGAUUUUGUACCCAGCUCCGACAGUGUUGAUGAAGAGGGUAAAGAACUUCCACAAGCCACGCUAUACAAUCUUUCAUCAGGUGUCAAGUGCCCACGGAAGAUUUCUAUAGCCCGUGUUCCUGUCCGCCCAGGUCAAAGGUACUACACUGUCUCACACUUGUAAGAUUUAAAAAAAAAAAAACAUCUUCACAUCUGACUCAAGAGAACGUUCACGUUGAAAGUAGCCAUGACCCAAGUGCCAGGGAAAACGCAAUUACUCAUCUCACUCAAAUGCUUUCAUUUCCAAGAAAAACUUCGGGCCACCAUUGAGAAUUCAAGUUCACGGAAACAAAGUUAGCGGAUAACAAACACAGUCAGUUCUAAAUUCCUAAGUCUCUAAUCCACUUGCCUUUCUGUCUGUGUGCCAAUCUAGCGUGACCUUGCAUACUUUGCUGGUGAGGACCUGAGGACACAUUGCCGCGGUCGUCCUCAGGUAGUGGAGGGCUGCGCACACCCCAAGAGCGAGGCCUAAGGAGGGGGCUGAGUUGGCAUUUGAAAGGAGGACUCGGGCUGCUCGCUUUGUGGGACUUUGUCACUGUGCUUCAAAUGUACUCAAUCAUCUGUCAUCUCACCGGGGAAACCAUCAUUAUGACCGUCAAAACCUGGGCUAUUAAUUUCUGGAUCUGAGGGUGUUGACAUCACAGUCAUUACAUUUUGAACCUAAUUUACUUUAAAGGCCUCUGAGUUAAGAACAACUUUCUGAACUUUCAAAGUUACGUAUUCCUCAAUGAGGGCACGUUAAAAGAGAAGCUUUCCUGAUUAGCCUGGCUACCUGUUUUGGAGGCCCCCUGCCUCAAGGUAAUAAAGUAAAGGCACAGGAGCUUUACUGUUU
Molecule: long non-coding RNA, 1009 nt
Filed under: Vulpes vulpes (red fox)
Lineage: Eukaryota; Metazoa; Chordata; Mammalia; Carnivora; Canidae
Description: lncRNA (ENSVVUG00000005542.1)
Source: RNAcentral